RNAcentral lists this ribosomal RNA (504 nucleotides) under uncultured bacterium. Its description in RNAcentral is "bacterial SSU rRNA". It matches the Rfam family "Bacterial small subunit ribosomal RNA", at positions 30 to 528 of the family's 1533-position model. The record is from RNAcentral.
AUUGAACGCUGGCGGAAUGCUUUACACAUGCAAGUCGAACGGCAGCACGGGGCAACCUGGUGGCGAGUGGCGAACGGGUGAGUAAUAUAUCGGAACGUGCCCAAUCGUGGGGGAUAACGUAGCGAAAGUUACGCUAAUACCGCAUACGAUCUACGGAUGAAAGCGGGGGAUCGCAAGACCUCGCGCGAAUGGAGCGGCCGAUAUCAGAUUAGGUAGUUGGUGGGGUAAAGGCUCACCAAGCCAACGAUCUGUAGCUGGUCUGAGAGGACGACCAGCCACACUGGAACCGAGACACGGUCCAGACUCCUACGGGAGGCAGCAGUGGGGAAUUUUGGACAAUGGGCGCAAGCCUGAUCCAGCCAUUCCGCGUGCAGGAUGAAGGCCUUCGGGUUGUAAACUGCUUUUGUACGGAACGAAACGGUACUGCCCUAAUACGCGGGCUAAUGACGGUACCGUAAGAAUAAGCACGGCUAACUAACGUGCCAGCAGCCGCGGUAACUACGU